CGGGGUGUGGCGCAGCCUGGUAGCGCACCUGAAUGGGGUUCAGGAGGUCGCGAGUUCGAAUCUCGCCGCCCCGACCA
RNAcentral lists this transfer RNA (77 nucleotides) under Chloroflexota bacterium. RNAcentral describes it as "Chloroflexi bacterium tRNA-Pro". It matches the Rfam family "tRNA". From Rfam's summary of the family: Transfer RNA (tRNA) molecules are approximately 80 nucleotides in length. Their secondary structure includes four short double-helical elements and three loops (D, anti-codon, and T loops). Further hydrogen bonds mediate the characteristic L-shaped molecular structure. tRNAs have two regions of fundamental functional importance: the anti-codon, which is responsible for specific mRNA codon recognition, and the 3' end, to which the tRNAs corresponding amino acid is attached (by aminoacyl-tRNA synthetases). tRNAs cope with the degeneracy of the genetic code in two manners: having more than one tRNA (with a specific anti-codon) for a particular amino acid; and 'wobble' base-pairing, i.e. permitting non-standard base-pairing at the 3rd anti-codon position. The record is from RNAcentral. Lineage: Bacteria; Bacillati; Chloroflexota.